AGAUCAAUCCUAAUUAAAUUCUAGUAAAAUCCUAAAUUUUAACUAAAUCCUAAACCUUAUACUAACUCUAUUUAAAUCCUAAAUAAAUCCUAGUAAAAUCAUAAAUCCUAACUUUUGACCAAAUCCUAAACUAAAUUCUAAGAAAAUUUCAAUCAAAUCCUAGAUCUUAAAUCAAUCCUAAUCAGUCUUUAAUCAAAUUCUAAAUCUUAAACAAACUCUUAAUUAAUCCUACAACAGAUUGAAUAUUUAAUAAUUAAUGCUUGAACUUUUGAUUUUGACUCUAAAUUAUCAAAUUUUAAAACAACUAAAUUAGCAACAAGAAUUAAAAAAAUUAAAGAAAAUUGCACAAAUCAAUUGCAAGAAAAGCUUUCAAAACCUCUCAAUUAUUGGCCACUUUCCUUCUCUAACUUGA
Molecule: long non-coding RNA, 412 nt
Filed under: Physcomitrium patens
Lineage: Eukaryota; Viridiplantae; Streptophyta; Bryopsida; Funariales; Funariaceae
Description: long non-coding RNA (PPAT_LNC013123)
Source: RNAcentral